AUUAGUUUUUUAAUUGGAGGCUAGAAUGAAUGGUUGGACAAGAAAUAAUCUGUCUUAAAUUAAUAUAUUGAAUUUAACUUUUAAGUGAAAAGGCUUAAAUAAUCUGAAGGGACGAUAAGACCCUAUAAAACUUUAUAUUUAUAUAAUAGUAGUUAGUUUUAUUUAAAAAUAUUAUUUUGGAAUAUUUGGUUGGGGUGACAAGGAUAAAAUGUAAGAUAACUGUCUUUUUUUUUUACAGUGAUGUUUGGUUUAAUGAUCCUAAAAAGGAUUAGAAGAUUAAGUUACUUUAGGGAUAACAGCGUAAUUUUCUUUAAGAGUUCUUAUCGACAAGAAAGUUUGCGACCUCGAUGUUGAAUUAAAGGUUCUUUAUAGAGUAGAGACUAUAAUAGAAGGUCUGUUCGACCUUUAAAAUUUUA
RNAcentral lists this ribosomal RNA (416 nucleotides) under Procambarus rathbunae. Its description in RNAcentral is "partial large subunit ribosomal RNA". The stretch from base 292 to 416 matches the Rfam family "Bacterial large subunit ribosomal RNA", at positions 2473 to 2598 of the family's 2925-position model. Lineage: Eukaryota; Metazoa; Arthropoda; Malacostraca; Decapoda; Cambaridae. The record is from RNAcentral.